UUGUGGAGAAAGUUCGUUGUAUGUUGUCUAAUGCUGAGUUAGGCAGAGAGUUUUGGGCUGAGGCUGUGACAUGCGCUCAACAUCUCGUCAAUCGUUUGCCAUCUUCUGCUAUAGAUGGCAAAACCCCGUUAGAGGUAUGGACUGGAAAACCUACAACUGAUUAUGAUUCUUUGCAUGUUUUUGGUUCUAUUGCAUAUUAUCAUGUGAUUGAAUCAAAGUUGGAUCCACGGGCAAAGAAAGCUCUUUUCAUGGGCUUUAGUCCUGGAGUGAAGGGAUACCGUUUGUGGUGUCUAGAGGCAAAGAAGACGAUUAUCAGCAGGGAUGUUACCUUUGAUGAAUCUGCCAUGUUAAAGAAGGUAAAUCCAGAAGGAGCUGAUAGUACUCCGCAACAGGUGUAGUUUGAGCCGACAGUGGUGAUCCCAACACGAAAUACCAUAAGUGACUCUCUUAUGGCAGAAGAAGAGUCAGAUGAGGAAGAGGUUCCUACCCAAGAAUCUCAACAGCAAUCAGCGCCAAUUGCAGUUNNNNNNNNNNNNNNNNNNNNNNNNNNNNNNNNNNNNNNNNNNNNNNNNNNNNNNNNNNNNNNNNNNNNNNNNNNNNNNNNNNNNNNNNNNNNNNNNNNNNAGAAUCCUGCAGAUAUGCUCACCAAGGUGGUUACAAGGACCAAGUUUGAACACUGUUUAGACUUGGUUAAUAUCUUGCACAUUUGAAGUUGGCGCCCGGAGGCGCAAAUUUGAAGCACUGCAAAGUUUGUUUUUGUUAUGUUUUGAGAAGAUUUGUUUUAGGUGGGACUUGAAAUUAAGCCAAGGUGAAGAUUUGUUGAUUUUGGCUUAAUCCCAAGUCCCACAUCGGUGGGUUCAUUGUUUGGGAAGGAGGUUUGAGGGUUAUAAAUUAACAUCUCCUCCUUCACUCUUAUAUAUCCCAAUUUGUAAUAUCUUCUCCCAUAAUAAUAAAAGUAAGCUGUUUUUGCUGUGCUCGGAGAUUAGGCUAAAUUGGCCGAACUCCGUUAACAAUUUUCUGGUGUGUUUUUUCCUCUUUAUCUCUUUUAUUAUUCCGCUUUAUUUAUUCAAUAUUAUUUGUCGGGUAGCUUUGUUAUGGUUUUGUUUUAGUGGGAAAAUUACCCGUUUUUCCCAACAAAUGAUGGUCGUGAGAAUGAUAAAUUUAGAUAACAUUCUACUCAACCUAUCAUGAGACUCAAAUUGAAUAGAUAAGAAAAAGAAAAUCUUGAUAGAAGGGUGAAGUUGCAUUAAAAUGAGUUUGAUGUUUCUUUAUACCUGCAAUGAGUUAAAUUCACCUAUAGGAUCGAGGCAUGAAGGUGAACUAAACUUUCUAAAGUCAAAACACAAUUCAAUGAGAGUAUAAUUUGAGGGUUCUAUUUUAACAAAUUUCAUGAGAGGUUAUCCAAGAAGAUGACACUAGUGCAAAAAAACUCAUUUAUUACACCAAAUACACAUUGUUUUUAUUGUCAAACAUUGUCCAUCAAAAUGCAAUGAUAUUUUUUUAAAUUAAAACGAGUAUAAAAUGACGAUUGUAAGUAUAACCGCCGUUUUAGAUCAAAGCGUCUUGGUAUAAAAUGGCAGUUGUAGGUGGAACUGCCUACAAAAGCAGAGGAGGUUGUAGUGACAGUAAUUGUAUUGAGUCUUGAAUUGUUCAAGUGGAGAGUUUGAGAAGAACAAUAAUUUUUUAUUAGUUCAGUAGUACGUAACUUGUAAUUGACAUGUCAUAUAUUUUACGUAAUUUUGGUUCAUAUCAUUUUGUGUUGUUCUUCUAAUGCAUAUUUUAUUGUGGAGAUUUCGUGUUAUCUGAAGACCAAUGCGAAAUAUUUCUGAAAUUUCGUUAAAUAUAAGAAAUGUUGAUUAAAGUUAAGUACUAUUAAAUUAUAAUAAAAGUGAAUCUUCUCGAAAGGGAUAAGUUCAUACCUAUAAUAAAAACGUGAGAUUUAACAUGCAUUAGUGAACACCUCAAUGACCAUUACAGAACAUAAUGAAUCGAGAUUGGAUUAAUCUGUUCACAUAAGUGAUGAUGGAGUAAAGUUUAGGUGUCCGUGCGUUAAUUGUUUGAACGAAAGGAGAUUGGAUGUUAACAAAAUCAGGGAGCACCUUCUAUGUGAUGAGUUUCUACGAUCUUAUACAACAUGGGCAUGGCAUGGUGAUCUUCUAAGUGUUUACGUGUUGUACAUGUGGUAACCAAAUCUCGAUCAGAAGUCUUGCAAGCACAUUUGUAUAUAUUGAAUAACACAGAUGAGGUUAUACCUUACAUAGAUGCUCAUAAAGCCAUCGUGAAGGCAAAUAACCCAAGACAACUAGCGAAAUGGGUCUUGAUGGAACAUAAUAUAACUUUCAUGCCUUGGUUUAAAGAUGAGGUGUUAAAGGAUUCAACGACAUCAGAGACCUUGACCUGGUUGGCUUCUGGAUUCAAGUUUGAAGUCAUUUCUUGUACAAGUUACGCAAUGAACAAUUGUAUAUCUUACACGAAGUCUAUGGAUGAAAAUAGUACAACUCAAAAUUAUAGUGCUACUCUUGAAGCUAAGUUAAUGCAUUUUUUUUUACUUUAAAAGAUACAAAUUUUGUAGAUGGAUGAAUGACAUACUAUGGUAUUAUAGAAGAGAUAUGGGAGGUUGACUAUACUAAGUUUUUUGUGUUGAACCCUGUGAUGUUCAAAUGUUUUGAAGAAUCCAAAUCCUUUGAAGGAUGUUGAAGCCUCUGCUUUGCUUGGUGUUGCUGUGCUGGUUUAAGCUUUGUUCUGGGGUAGUGUAUAUGUUGUAAUCCACCCUUGUAUUAAAUCUCAAGCAAUUAGCAUCUCAAUCUUUAUAAAAGUAAAAUGUUUUUCAAACUAAGUUGAAACAACCGAUUGUUUAUACUUAGGGGUUUUGAGAAAGAUUGAAAACUGUUUUUGAAUGGUUGAAACUGUUAAGUACCAAAACAACCGAUUGAUUCGAGGAAACAACCGAUUGUUUGUUUUGGGACCAUAACAGAAAAACUGUUUUCUUUGACUGAGCUUUAAAGAGUUUGUUAAGAUUUGAUAACAAACUAUAUCUUUGAAUAUAUUCAUAAAAACAGUUUUAAGAAUUAAGAAUCUUUUGACAAAGUUUUUCUAAGAGUUUUUUUCAAAGUGCUGAGAUUACUUAAGAGUUUAGUGAUUGAUUAAGGUGCUGGAAUAGGAUUCUACUUGUAUUGAUUUCAGAUAUNNNNNNNNNNNNNNNNNNNNNNNNNNNNNNNNNNNNNNNNNNNNNNNNNNNNNNNNNNNNNNNNNNNNNNNNNNNNNNNNNNNNNNNNNNNNNNNNNNNNUGUAACAAGUGUAACCUUUGUAAUCGUUUGAACAAUUCGUUUAUGUGUUUGCUGAGAUUGGCUGUGUGUUCUUGAGGUGUUCAAGAUCAGCAAUCUUAGUGUUGGCCAAGGAGAGUGUGUUUCUUGAGGUGUUCAAGGUCAUUCUCUUGGUUGUGGUGUAAGUGAUCAAAUGGUGAUUGCUUAGUGGUUAUCCUUAGGGUUUCUGAGAAGACUGGAUGUAGCUCUUGUUUGGAGUGAACCAGUAUAAACAACUGUGUACAAUUUCUCUAUCCCUAUCUCUUUAAAUUCAGUUUUGAUAUUUUGAAACUGGUAUAAACAACCGAUUGUUUCGCUAAAACAACCGAUUGUUUUUCCAGCUUUGUGCUUUUACUGUUUUGAUUUGAAAAACUGAAUCCUUAAUCAAGGUUCUUUUGAAGAAUUUUCAUUCUAAGCUUAAAAGUUUAAGAAAAUCUUUCUUAAACAAUUCACACCCCCCUCUCGUUUAAGGCCAUAUAUUGUAACAUUUUGUUCUAGUUUUCAAGAGUAAAUGGGUUGACAAUAAGAGUGAGGUUAAAAUUGAUGAAUUAGAAUUCACAUUAGUGGACUUUCAAAAGAUAGGUUAUUGGGAUGAGACAUUUAUAAUGGUUCAACAAGCAUCUAAGGUUUUUUAUGUCAAAUAUCCUACGUCAAAACAUUGGUAUGUUGUUUUACACGAAAAAAAAACAAACAAAAGGGAGGCUAUUGAUGAUAUUGAAAAUGGUGACCCCCCCAUUGAUGACUUUUGUACGACAAGUGCACUAUGUUGUCAGAAGUAAUAAUUUGUCCCUAAGGCCAUAUAUCGAACCCACAAGGAAUAGUUGAAUAAUCAAGUAAAAAAUUCACUAAAUAGAAAACAGAAUAGUAAAGUUUGUUGGAAUUUGUUAUGAUUGCAAUGAUUAAAAAGAAAACAAGUAAAAGAGUUUGUUGCUUCAAAUGAAAAAAUAAGUAUUGAAGUUCAUCUUUCUCACUCUUUUGUAUUUUGAUUAGCAUGACAAUAUUGUGUCAUUUGAUUGAUAUUGAUGCCCGUAUAAAAAUCAUUUAUAUCGAUUCCUCGCAUAUAAAAUUAUUAAGAUGUGUCCUAAAUAUUGACUCACAUAUUUAUAAAAACAUUUUAUCAUUAAGAUCAGACGUUGAAAGCAAUUAACAUUUCAAAUCUAUUCCUAGCAUUCAAAUAUGUUAAUCAUUAUCAUUUGGAUAAGAAACUUAGAAGUACUUUCUAGUCAAAUCUAAAUUUCGAGAUCAUGGUAAACCAAGCAUUACAAACAAAAUGACAAUACCAAUUAUCAUUCAAGAACAAAAUAUUAUGUUUAGAUAUCACCUCAAUACAUAAGAGUUCAAAUAGAUUAAUCUCAAUCCCAAAGGGUAGAAUUUGCUACACAUGUUGGCUGUUACAAACAGGGAGAACAAGAAAAGAAGAUCUAGGAUGUUUCUCCUUGACGGUUCCCUCCUCUAGGGUUUCUAACACCUUCUAUUCUACCAAUUGGAUUAUAAUUCACUCAAUGGUGUUUUCCUCUCAAUCUUGCGUCCCUAGGGUUGUGCCUCAAGCUUCCUAUUUAACCUAAUUGGCUUGGGUUAAGUGACUUCUCGCUUGGGAGUUAUUGGGCUCGCCUAGGCAGUUUCAUGAAAAAAGGUACAACGUCAUUGUAGCAAUCUUGCUUGGGCGAGAUCCUCUAGGGGCGUUUGGCUUAGGUGAGUUUGGGCGAGCUUUGGUGAGUGUUGGUGCGUUCCAGCUUUCCCUUUCUAGCUUUGUAUAUUCUCUUUUUGCCCAAUCAUCUCAAUUCUUUCCUAGAAUCCUGAAAUUAACAGAAAUUUAGGAAUAAGUUGUUCUUAUUCAAAUUAAAAUUAAAAAAAUAUAUAAAAAAUGUAUAAUUUCAUAAAUUAAGGGUUAUUUUAUGUUUGUUUUAUCAAUUAAUAUCCAUAAGUGCCUAUAUUUUAAUAUGAAAUAUUACUGAAAUCUGGCACUUAUUACCCGUUCAUGAACACCGAUGAUAAUGAAUAAAGAUAUCGAUGUAGUUGAUGAUGUACAUACAACCCGUAAAGACCACAGUGAGGGAAUUUACAUAUGAACAUUCAACCCACUAUGUACGAAUUAGAAAUAUUUUUUAUAAUACGAAUUUAAAAUUUUAUGUAUUUGUUUUAUAUGAUUUUCUUUCGAUACAAUUUAAGUAAUGUUUGUUUACCUAAUUUUUUAACACAGAUAUGGCUGACGAUCAGACUUCGAUUUCUUCUACCCCCCCUUCCGGAAGAUACACCAGAGGACCUACUAGACUGAGGCGUCUCUCAUUGAGGCGUGUUAGUGGUGAGAAGACACCUCUCAAUAGUGACGUCAACACCAGAAUGGCUUCUGGUCCUAAUGCUGACACUUUUAGCAGCUAUCUUAGAAUCUUCGCUCAUGAGAGGAUCUCCAUGUUGACAAAUUCAUGGGAUGAUGUGAUUAAGGUUGACCAGAACAUGUUUUGGGGAUAUCCUGGUAAUGUAUACAUUAUUAUUGUUAUCAUAUAUUGUUUUUAAUAUUAAUUGAUCAAUUUUAAUUUCAUGAUAUUUUUUUGUAGACGCAUUUUGAUAUCCCUAAUGUGGAACUGCUAAGAUCGAAGCUUAUAUAUAAUAUCAACAUUAAAUUCUGUUAGUUUAAAUCAUAGUUGAUGACGAAUUAUGUUUUGGACGUUAUAAAGGCUAAAAUGCUUGUUUAAAGUACACCAAUAUUGAUGAGGAGACAUUGCAUCUUUUUGUUCAAAGCCGUGAAUUUGAAGAGUGGUCAGUAUGUAAAGUUACUUAAUUAUUUUAUUUAUGGACCAUAACAUUAACUACUUAAUAUUAUUUGAUUCACUUUGCUUAUUUCAUUUAUGAUAGGAUCUUCGGAAGAAAGCCCAAGACAUAGCAUUAAAUAAUGUGACCUCGCACCUAAUGUCCCAUUCGGGGUAUUGUAUGCUUGGACAAUCAUUGAUGAUGGAAAAGAAACAAUCGAGAUAGGGGACUGCUUCUAAAAUUGGUAUAGGGGUUAGUGAACCUCCACCACCACCUACCCGUCACCAAAAAUGGAAGAUGACCCGAAUUAAAAGGUCAGGUACAUUACGUUCUAAGCAAUCACGGAUAGUCUUAGAAAAAAUUGUAACUUAUUUUUAUUCUAUUUUGCAUUUAUUUUAAAGCAUUAAUUAUAUUAAAAACUUAAAUGAUUUUGGUCUCUUGCAAGAUUUCUUGGUUGAGCAAAGCUCCCAAGGUAAUUUUGUACCUCAAAGUCGUCAAGAUAUUCUGGUUGAAGCAAUUGGAUGACCUAAACACCUUGGUCGUGUACGUGCAACUGAAAAAGGGGUUGGAAUUAAACAUUAUUUCGGAGCUGCACCAUGAUUCAUCCUCCUCCCCCACCUCAGAGACCAAAGUAGAAAUGACGACUGAGAUAUGACAAGAAUGCAUUAUAUUAAUUUAUAUUUAUGUAUUACAUCUAAUUUAAUACAAAUGUUCUUUAUUUUGUAGAAACCUCAUUGAAAACCAAGUCUGAAAAAGAAGCACAAGGUUUCCAUUGACGAUCCUAUAGCUUCUUUAACAACAACGACUAAAGAUAUUGGUCAAGACCCUAUCGAGAUUUCAUGGUAUGAUAUUGUUUUUGGAAGAAACACUAACAUGCCACUAUACAUAUAAAUGUCAGAUUUGUUAGAAUUUGCAGCUGGAAACCAAGAGCUCAAUAUAACUAUAAUUCAAUUUUUUAUGUUGUAAUUAUCUUUACCUAUAUUUCAAUUUACUUUAUGUUAAAUUAUUAUUGAUUGUACUUUAACUAAUAACUUGUAGGUAUUUGUGUGGAGUUUCUAUUAAUGACCAGAAUCAAGAUGUCUAUGGAUUCUUGGAUCCCUAUUAUAUUAAUCUAAUUGGAGCAAAGAAAGUCAAAACUCAAUCAUACAUCACUAACACUUUGAGUUUAGAGGGAAUUUUUUUUAUCUUUGCCCUUAUAUUAAUGAGUAAGUUCAAUUAUAAGUCGUCAAUUAUUACUAUUUCAUGUUUUAAAUAUUUACUAAUGAUAUAGGGGUCAAUUGGUAGUUACUUGUGUUAUCCACGGUUGAUAAGACUACUGUGUGGUUUUGUUCCCUGCACAAGAAGCCAUCCACACACCUGAAGCAUAUAAUUGAUGUGUAAUUACACUAUAAACUUAAUUGUGUAUGUUACUAAAACGUCUACUAUAAUGCGGUUUUUUUUGUAUUGAUCACGACAUGACGUGGAUAUAGAAUACUCAAAGGUCAACUGAGUGCAAAUUAUCAAAAGCUGACAUGGCUGAACCUAAAGGUUUGUACUUUUUGUCUUCCUCUUUUCAUUGUUUAUCAAUAUUAACUUUUAAUUUCUAUUAAAUUAUAGUGUAAUAGACAAUCGGGAGACUAUAAGUGUGGCUAUUACGUUAUGCAAUGGAUGAUUACCAUUGUAAGACUAGGCAUUAAAACAAAUUGGGAGAAGGUAAUAAUAUUUAAAUUAUUCUUUAUAAUUCUUUAACGUAUAUGUAUCUUAACACUAAUUAAUGUGAACCUUAUUUCAUAAUGCAAUUCUUUACGGAUGAGCAACCACUACCUUCGAUCAGCAUAAAUUAUGUGAGACAUGCUUGGGCCACAUGUUUCCUUAAUUUCUAUAACUCUAGGAUAACUAAUCAAUAGUAAAUGAAUUAGAUAGAUAUAUAGGAAUAUGUAUUAGUGUUUGUAAUAUGUUUUUAUCAAUAUAUAUAAUUUAAUUCUCUAAAUUUAUGUAUCUGGCCGACUGAGUUUAACUGAACAUGUUAAUUUAUAUGGAAAAAUACAUAAAACAUAAUGAAUUAAAAAAAUCCAUAAUAAAUGGCGGUUAUGACCAUAACCUCCGUUUAUAACUCUCGGAGAAGGGUAUACAACGGAGGUUACGAACCACCAUUUUAUACCUUCAUCUUUGGUGAGUCUAGGAAAGGGUAUAAAAUGACGAUUAUUACCAUAACCGUCAUUUUAUACCUCUUGCAUGUAUAAUAUUUGGCAAUGCAGGGAAGGGUCGAAAAUCGACAAUUAUGGUAAUAACCGUUGUUUAUGUAUGUCAUUAACAUGACGAUUAAAUAAUUGUCGUCUAUGCCCCAAGAGAAUAAACUACAUGUUUAAACACAGCGGUCUAAGAGCCAUCGUGUUAAUGCUAAAAUAACUGUCGUUUAUGUAUGUCAUUAACAUGGUGGUCAAAUAGUCGUCAUCUAUGUCUCAAGACGUGUUUAAACACAGUGGUUCAAGAGCCGCCAUUUUAAUGCUAAAAUAAUUGCUAUUUUUAACUUUUUUCGUACCGGUGUGGAGAGAUUGAGUUGUCAGGGUUAUACUCCAAAAGAACUUUUUUCUUUUAUCAAAAAAUUGUGACACAUUUAAAACAGUUAAAACGACUUUAAACACGAUAGAGUAGUUAUUGAAAGUUUAAUUUUAAAAUAUAAAUUGUCAUGUAAACAUUAUAUAUAGGAGUUAGUAGAUACUUUGAAACCUAAGAAUAUAUUUGGAAAACACAUAUCACUUAUGUAAAAAUUACUCAAAGCAAUAAAAAUCAAUAAAAUGAAUGUUGCAAUGUGGCAUCUUUCAAUCUUUUAUCUAUUCUCUCUCUUUAAACUUUAAUGUUUUGUUGGUAUUAGGGAGGAGAAAUGAGAGAGCGUAAAAUGAUUGAUUUAAGAGGAAAGUCUAGAGAAAAUUAUGUUGUUUAUAUUAAGCCUUUGUUUGUAUCCGGGUGAUUACUGUUCACUCAGAUUGAAAAGGAAGGAAACAUCACGUUUGCAUCUGGGUGUUUAUGGGUAUUAGAGAGUGAAGAAAGGCGAAGAAAGUGGAAAAGGGUUCUUUGCUAGGUUGUGAAGAUUUGGUGAGAAAGUAUUUGGUUUUACCAUAUUACCCAUCACCUAUUAUCCUAUGUGCCAUAACAGCCCGUGCCAUGCAGUUGCAGAUAUUCCCUCCACAUGAGAUUCUCACGCAUGAGAUUCCAUCUUCAUAAACACAGAUUCGUACAAUGUUCGGUGAGUUACUUCAAGUGUGGUGGGUGAUGAAUAAAUAUGAAAGAGAUGAUAAAUAUGGGAGAGGAGAGGAUGUGAGUUAUUUGUUUUGAGUUGACGGAGCUUAGAAUAGGUCGGAAAUGUGCGGUCGUCGGAGGUGCACGGUGAUAGGAGGUGUGCGAUCGUCGAAGGUUCGCAAGCGUUGGAGGUGCGAGGUUGUCGGCAAUUCGCAAGCGUUUGAGAUGUGCGGUUGUCAGAGGUGCAAGGUGUCGGUGGGGUUCCGUUCGUGGUGGUGUUCCGUAGGUGGCGUUGGACGAUAGACGGUUUCGUUGGUGGUGGUCGGUGGUGGUUCUGUUGGUGGUGCUCGGUGGAUGGUAGUGGUUCGCGGUGGUUGUUGGUGGUUUCGGCAUCGUUGUUCUCUACGUUUUCUGCAGGUAAAUUUCAUAGAUAAUGGAUUUGGAAUUUAGAGAAUGAAAUCUCGAGGAGAAGAAAUUUGUAAUGUUUACUUAUUUUUUUUAUUUAUGUUAAUAGAUGUAUGUUGUUGUCCUUUAAUUUUCUAAGUUCUUUGUUUAAGCGCAUUAAUGAAAUUUUGAAUGGAUUUUACUUUUAUCUGCUAGUUAAAAAAAACUUACUAAUAUUUAAAUUUUUUCUGGUAUUUGAAAAUACAUAGAAUUUAUGUAUAAUAUUUUUUUUCUAAAAAUAAAGUAAAAAAGCUUUAUAAAUAUUGUUUUAAAUUUAUAAAAUAAUUAUAAGUAUACAAAAUAUUUAAAUAUUUAAUUUUUUCUAAAAUCAAGUAAAAAAAAUUAUAAAUAUUUCUUUGAACAGGGUUUAAAAUAAUUAUAAGUAUACAAAAUAUUUAAAUAUUUUAAAAUACUACUUUAUAGAUAAUUUACAUAUAAUAUUUAAUUUUUUCCAAAAUCAACUAAAAAAAUUAUAAAUAUUAUUUUGAAUUUAUAAAAUAAUUACAAGUAUAUUGAAUAUUUAAAUAUUUUAAAAUAUUUAAAUAGAUAGUCUACUUAUAAUAUUUUAUUUUUUCUAAAAUCAAGUAAAAUAAUUUUAUAAACAUUUCUUUGAAUUUAUAAAAUAAUUAUAACUAUACAAAAUAUUUAAAUAUUUUAAAAUACUACCAUAGUCUACAUAUAAUUUUUUUUUUCUAAAUUCAAGUAAAAAUAUAUUUAUAAAUAUUAUUCUGAAUUUGUAAUACAAUUAUAACUAUACCACUUUACAGAGUUUAUAUAUAAUAUUUUAUUAUUUUAAAAUAAGUAAAAAAAUUUGUAGUACUAUUAUUUCUCUAAAAUGUGGUUCUUUAGACUUAAUAGUUAAACUUAUAUGAUUGUGAAGGAUUUGUGACCAUGGAUAAUGAUAAUCAUUGGUCUAUGUAUUUCAAAAAUGUCGAGAUGUGUAACACGAAUGACAUGAAUCCCGAUAUAGUUGGUGUUGAUUUCAAAAAUAUAAGAGCUAAUCAAUUUGCGGACACAAGUAGCAGCAAUGAUAAACAUUUGCAUGAUUGGAUAUGGAUUGAAUGUGUUGCUUGUGUUAAUCAAGACAAAUAAUGUUAUACCGGAGUCUAUUCCAUAAAAAGAGCAUCGUCGGCAAGAAUUGAUGUCGUACUUGGUCCAUACUGAAAGAUGUCGUGACAUUAUUCGCAUGGGUCCGAAAGCAUUUAUUAAUUUAUGUCAACGAAUAAGAGGAACUGGGAUGCUUAAAGAUACAUUCUAAUCUAAAGUUGAAGAACAAGUGGCUAAAUUUUUACACAUCAUUGGUCAUAACGUCAAGAAUCGAAGUGUUUCGUUCUUCUUUCAUCGGUCCGGGAAAACAGUGUCUCGUCACUUUCAUAAUGUUUUGAAGGCAAUAUUGAUGUUGCAUGGAGAGUUCUUAAUUCAACCAGCUGGGACUGAGGUUGAACCUCAUAUCUUAAACAACAAUCGACUUUUUCCAUACUUUAAGGUAUGAAUAUGAGAAACAAUAGUUAAAUAUUUAAUUCAUAUUGUAUGCAAUGCAGGUUAUUUAUAAAUGUGAAGUUGUUGUGUAUUAGAAUUGUUUGGGUGCCAUAGACGACACUCAAGUCCGUGUUAAAGUCCCCCGAGCUGAUGCUCCUCGUUUUCGUGGAUGAAAAGACUGGCCAACACAAAACGUAUUUACUGCUUGUGAUUUUGACAUGAAAUUCACAUAUGUUCUUGUGGGGUGGAAAGGAACAACCUUUGAUUCCAGGAUAUUGAAGGAUGCGUUUGUACGAGAGGACAUUGGUCAUUCCGGAAGGUUAGUUGAGUGUGUUUUCAAGUGCAAUAAAUAUUCAUUUGGUCACAUGACUUAUAAGUAAUAAUUGUUAAUGGAUGGUUGUAGGCAAAUACUACCUUGGAGAUGCGGGUUUUAUGCUCAAAGCCCAAGUUAUAACUCCAUAUAGCAGAGUUCGAUACCAUCUAAAAGAGUAUUUCCGAAAAGGUCCACAAAAUGCCCGUGAGUUGUUUAAUCAUUGUCAUUCCUAAAAAAGAAAUCUUAUCGAAAGAACAUUUGGUGUCCUCAAAAAGCGAUUUCCAAUUAUGGCUAGCGGUACAGAGAACCUCAUUACUUUGUGCACACUAUGACCGAUAUUGUUUUAGGAUGUUGUAUUCUUCAUAACUUUCUUCUCGGGGUGGAUAAUGAUGACUCUUUGUUGGAAGAAGUUGACCGUGAGUUGAUGCAAGGAGAUAUAGAUGCGUCACACUCGCAAACUCGUGAGGAUGACUACAGGCUCGGGUAAUAAAUCAGGGAUACUAUAGCGAAUGAAAUGUGGACAGGUUAUUGUAAUAAUUAAUUUUAUGUAACAUCCGUGAAAUUAUAUUUAUAUUGUUGUAAGAACAAUUUCACGGUUUAAUGUUGACAUUCCACCUUUAUUAAUAUUUAUGUAUGAAACUAUUUAUGUUAUUGCAAAAGUUUAACCUAUUUUUAUUAGGUUUUAUCUUGGAGCUCGGGAAGGGUAUUGCUUCAGAGUCAUUUGCAGGUGUCCGUGAACACAAAAAAUGGACUACCGACAUGGAUGUUUGACUAGAUCGAUGAGGCUUUUAUGGGUAACCGCAUUGAUGGUAGUUGGACAACGCAGGGUUACACAAACAUCGUUAAAUCCUUACAUCAGAGUGGAUUGGUAGGGAUUACAAAAAAUAAUGUGAAGAACAAAAGGCAAAAAAGCCUUAAGGACGGAUGACUUGAGAUCCAUGAUCUAUUUAGUGGACUGAGUGGUUUCGCUAGGAAUCCAAGCACGAAAAUUUUCGAGACCGAGGAUGAAGUGUGGGAAAUGUUGAUAAAGGUAACGUAUUCAACCUAAUGUUCACUUAUCGCAUACAUUAACUAGUAAUUAUGAAUAUGAAUGUAUUUCUUUUCAUUAAUGAACAAGCAAAGUCCUCGAUCGCAAAGUGGCGUGUUAAUCCCAUCAGGUACUACAAGUUGAUGGAAGACUUAUGGGGGCUUGAUCGUGCUACCGGCCAUGGUGGGAGAACAACACUGCAGUCAUCAAGUCGAACUCAGUCUCAUCAUUUUAAUGUAGAUCUUAAUGAUCACAAUAUGGAGGACAUCCCAGAGGAGCCAAAAAUGGAUGUGACUCAAUGUGAAACUCCUCGCUCAGCUGAUCCUAAUGUUGAUUCAUACAUCCCAGACCCUAAUCUGACACCCCCAUUGGUGCCACCUCAGCCAUCCCAGCCAUCAGGUGGUACUUCUUCUUCUAGAGGCUAAAAAAGAAAAGCCCCCAUGGUGGACGUCAUUGAUCUGCAAUUGGAAACACUUAACACAAGGUUUGAAGGAUUAACUAAUAUCAUUGGGAGGGGUAGUGACCAGUCAGAUAGGUUAUGUCAUAUUGCUGAGCGACAAACCAUUUCAUUUGAGGUUGUCGCUUUGUCAUCACAGCGAGUAGCUAAUGCUACGGAAGAAAAUCUGCAAUAUAACAAACAUCAUGUUGUUGCAGAAGAAGAACGAAACUCCAUAUUUAGUGAACACACGCGCACACUCCGUCAUACAUCGACUUUCCAUUACUCUGAGUAUGAUAUCUGGGAAAUGUUAGUGGAGAUGAACACACAGGAUGAAGAUUUGUUGGAUAACUGUUACGACUUCUUGUGUGAUCAUCCUAAUGCAAUAAAACAACUUUUUGUCUUGCCUCUCGAGCGAUGAAUGAGAAAGUUGGUGAAGAUAAUGAAUACAAAUCCCUAAACUAAGUAAAUAUUUUGUUGUAUUUUAUUAUGCAUGUAUUUUUCUUUUCGAAUUUAUAAUAUUAUUUAUGACACGAAUCCCUAAACAAAUUAAAGACUUCCAUGACUCUUUUGAAUGAUACAUAUUUCAAUGUAUCAUUCAUAUGUUUUUUCGAAACAUUAUUAUUAUUAUUAUACACAAAAAUUAUCAAUGAAUUUUGUUUUAAUAAACUAAAAUACUGCAUUAGUACGCAUUAAUAUUUAUUUCUUUAAAAAAAUUCCUUUAUUGAAUUAUAACUCAAACAAAUUAUUAGAAAUAAUUGUUCCAGUACCGGAAAUAAUCUUUUAAUUGCAUACAACUAUAAUUGAAAAAUAAAUAACUCACAAUUACAACUUUAUUUUACUUUAUUCUAAAUAAAAUUUAUGACAAUCAUAAAUAUGAUAAAAAAAUUUAUAUAAUUUAUAUUUUUCUGAAGUUAGCUCGAACACGGUAUCGAAAAUAAUGUUUCAAUUGCCGAAAAAAUAUUUUUAAUUAAAAAAUAAUUAUAAUUCACAAAUAAUAAAUCAAAUUAAUUUUUUUUAUCAAUUUUUAAAUCUAAGGGCAAAUGUGUAAAAUUACAUUUUUAUCAAUUAAAAAAAUACAAUUUCAAUCACACCCAUCACAUCACUCACAAUUUUUUUUAUAAACUUCGUUACACUUUCCACUCUAUUUACCUUAAUCCAAACACCCUAACUUUAUUUACACUUUCUCUUCAAAUCAUCUCAAAUCCACUUUUUCAUUUUCACUCCCUAAUCGAAACAAAGCCUAAAACUUUGUUUGAAUUGGGGAGUGGAAAGUUGAGGGUGUGGAGGAGUGGAAGUGUGAAGAUUUGAGAAGAAAGUGUGAAGAAAGUUGAGGAUGUUUGGAUUGGGGUAUGUUAGAGUGGAUGUGUGAACAAAGUUUAUUGAAACAUGUGAGUGAUUUAAUGGUUGUAAGGAUAUUUUGAAUUAUUUUGAGUUGUGUAAAUUGUAAGAUUACAAAUUUACCCUUGUAUAUAUAAAAAAUAAAAAUAAAUGAUAAUUACUUUUAUACACAUUUUAUUUAAUUAAAAUAAUUUAAAAUUUUAACUAUAAAUAAAAUAAUAAAAUAAUAUAGAAUUCAAAUAAAUAAAAUAUACAAUUGAAUUCUAUUAUUUAUACUUUUUAGAAUUUAAAUAUUUAAAUGGAUUUUAUAUUCUUAUUAAUAAAUCAAAAUCUAAAUUACUAUAAUAUAUAAUAAAAUUACUAAAAUAUUAGCCUAUAAUUUUAAAUAAUGUAUUUUAUUAAUUCUGAUUAAUAAGAAUUUUUUUUAAUAUUUUGAAAAAUAAAUACUAACAGAAUAUUAAAUUAGAACAAACAAAAACUAAAAAAUUAAAGGAAAAAUCAUAAAAAACAAAAAUUGAAAAAUUUGAAGAAAACAAAUUGAACAUAACCGAUUAUGCCUUGACUAAAAAAAAUAACAUAAUCGAUUACCCACUAUUUUUAGGAGUCUAAUCGAUUAUGUCUUCCCUUAAAAAAGAACUUAAUCGAUUAUGUUGAAUAUCUGAAUAGCAUAAUCGAUUAUGUCUAUUUUAAUAAACAGUACAUAUGAUUAUCCUCCUAAAAAUAGAGGUUAAUCGAUUAUGUUGUAUGCUUAAUCAACUAUUUUUUGGACAUAAUCGAUUAAGUCCUAUGUGUUUUUUCAUGCAUAAUCGAUGAGACACUAUUAAAAAUCUUAAAAUUAUUAUUUUAUAAAUUAAUCUGAAAUAUUAUUAUUAUUUUAAUAAUUAUAUUAUUAAUAUUAAUAAUACUUUUUCUUAUAAAUAUAUUUAUAUUUUAAGGUAUAUAAGUAUUUUUUAUUAAAAAUAUAUUUAAUAUUUUUAUUUUUAUUAUGAAUAUAUUAAAUAUUUUUUGGAUAUUUACAGUUUACUUGGAAUAAAAUCAAAUAAAAUUAAGUAAUAAAUUAUUUUCUAUUAAAAUUGAAUUCUAUUAUUUAUAUUUUUAGAAUUUAAUUAUUUAAAUGGAUUUUUUAUUUUCAUUAAUAAAUCAAAAUUUAGAUUAUUAUAAUAUAUUAUUCAAUUCUAUUAUUUAUACUUAUAGAAUUUAAAUAUUUAAAUGUAUUUUAUAUUCAUAAUAAGGAUAAAAAUGUAAAUGCUUAAAAGUCUAUGUGGUUUUCUCUUUUCUCAUUGCACUUUCUCUUCAUACAUGAAAGGAACCAUAAAACAUUUAACUUCUCCUUUUCACAUACCUUCCCCUUAUCCAUUCCUUGAAACAAACAAAACGUGUGAUGCAUUCUCACGUCUCCGCGUGAAGAGUGCACCCCUCAAUCCAAAGGUAGCAUAAGGGGAAGAGAGGAGAUUUGAAUAGAAAGAUUGUAGAUGAUUUGAUUGAUAUAGUUAAUAAUUUUUUUAUAUUAAUAUAUUUGAAAAAAAUUAUAAAAAAAAUUUAAAACUGUUAUAGAAUAAUAUAAUUUGUUUAAUAUAUUAUUUUAAUAUUUUUUACUUUAAUUUACUUAUUUUAUCAUAAUAAAUAUAAUUAUUAAAAUAAAAUAAUUAAUUAUCUUUGUGAACUGAAUAGUAUUUUCCGUGCAAUUCUCUUCUUAUAUUCUUAUAUGAGCGGAAAGUUUAUAUUACAACAAACUUUGUCUUUUUGUGAUUUUUUUAAGUUUCAAAUUCUUGAAAUUAGCAUUUUUUUUUUUUGCUUCUCCUUGCUUUGUUCUUGAAUUUUUUUCACGUCUAGAAACAAACACACAUAAGUUAUCUUUUUCUCUUUAAUCUCUUGUGAUUAUUUCUAUCCUAUGAACUAUAAGUAUGGUUUUUUAUUUGAUUCAAUUAGAUGGGUCUUAAUUCAUUUAUAAGUGUUGGAUCGAACAGUACAUCUUUAUUCUAUUGUCUAAAAAGUAUGUUAAAAAUGUGAAAGAAUAUAAAAGAGUAACAAAUUGAAUUUAUCCUAUCCUGGUUUAUGCAUCAGAUGGAAACAAAAUGUUGAUGUUAUGAAACGGAAGGAGGGCAUUUUCCAUGCAAUAAAGAGAUGGUCGUAGUCUGCAUAUUUGCAUGCAAAGAAACAGGAACAAUUAUGAAUGAUGAUGAUGAUGAUGAUGUACACACAGCAGUAAUUGAUGAGGAUAGAAUAGAGGGAUGGCAGGGACAGGGAUAGGGUGCGUAGAGGUAUCAUAUUAUUAGGCUACGUGUAAUCUCUACGUUGAAAGCACCAUGACGUAAAUGCCACCCACUACGACCAACAUGUUUUCUAAGGUAAAAAAAAAAAAACCUAGUUUAUGUAGAUAUUUAAUUAACUAUAAUUUUAAUGUUUUUCAGUUCUAUUUGUAUUGAAUUGAUGGGUACCCUUUCCAAUGGAAUAUGGGAUAUACUGAACAGAUAAACAUGGGUUGCAAACAUAUGGUAAGUGGAUCUAAAAGUAAAAACACUUUUGUCUUCUUCUCUUCCCUUAGCUGCUGCUACACUAUAUACUACAUGCCAAACACUUCUCUCCAAACAACUUUCCCAACCCUUAUCUUUGUCCAAAUAUUUUUGCAGCAAACUUUUAGGAUUCGUGACAGCCCUUAGGAAACAUAAUCACCCUAUACACCACUUUUCAUUUCAUGCAUCGCUCUUAACUUCAUCUAACAUGAGUGUGAGAAGAAGGAUAUGGUUUCGUAUGAUUCAAAGGCCAAAUAAUUGUAAAUGGGACUUGGAACCUUUACGUUGUUAUCACAACGAAUGUUAAUUAAGGUUGGGCAAGUUGAAGAUGUUCCCCAAUUCCUCGCGUGCAAGUUGAAAUUUGGCAAAGGGACAAAAGAGAUAAAAGAUUUUUCGAUGGAAAUAUGGUGGUGCAACAUUGGGUGGAAUUCACAGUGAGAGAAAGAAGAUUAUGCCGGCCAAGUAGGGCACCAUUAUUAACUGCAUUAUGAGAAUCUCCAAUUCAGCAUUAAACCCAGAGGGAGAAAACGACCACACCUAUGUUUCAGAAUCUUCUUUGGAAAAGAUAGAAUACGCUCUAAUUUUCUUAGGGUACCUUCACUGCUCUACUGUGAGUUUGGCAAAAAUAAAAUAAAAGACACUUCACGUCUCGGAGUUAAGUUUAACACAAUAUAUAUAUAUAUAUAUUGAUUUUGGCUUAAUGUCAAAUUUCACAUCGGUGGGUUCAUUGUUUAGGAAAGAGGUUUCAGGGUUAUAAAUUAAACUUUCAUCCUUUACGGUUAUAUAUUCCAAUUUGUAAUAUCUUCUCCCAUAAUAAUAAAAGUGAGUUGUUUUUGCUGUGCUCGGAGAUUAGGCUAAAUUGGUCAAACUCCGUUAACAAUUUUCUGGUGUGUUUUUUCCUCUUUAUCUUUUUUAUUAUUCCCACUCUGUUUAUUCAAUAUUAUUUGUUGGGUAGCUCUGUUAGGGUUCUGUUUUAGUGGGGAAGUUACCCGUUUUUUCCAACAAGUGGUAUCAAGAGCCGAAGGUUCGCCCUUGGGUUGUUUGAAAUUAUUUGUAAUAUUGAAUACUAUAUUUUGAGUUUGUAAUGGCAAAUAAGAAGAAGAAGCAAAGGAUGUAUCCAGAGUGUCGGGCUCCUCGUCAUCAUGGUCGAGGUUCCCGGUGUCCACUUUGAAAUUGGCGGUGGAAAUAUUUGAUGGCACUGGACAUUUAGGUAUGUGGCAAGGAGAGGUCUUGGACUCUCUUUUUCAACAGGGUCUUGAUAUUGCUAUUGAAGGAGAGAAACCAGAAGAGGUAGAGGAGAAAGACUGAAGCAUCAUCAACCGGUUGGCAUGCGGAACUAUUCGAUCCUGCGUGUCCAGAGAGCAGAAGUAUGCUGUAAAAAAAGAGACUUCUGCACACAAACUGUGGAAGGCAUUGGAGGACAAGUUUCUAAAGAAGAGUGGUCAGAACAAGCUCCUGAUGAAGAAAAGGUUGUUUCGAUUUGACUACCAACAAGGUACUACUAUGAAUGCACACAUCAUUAUGUUUAAUCAAUUAGUAGCAGACCUGUUGAAUUUAGAUGUGAAGUUUGAGGAUGAGGAUUUGGCUUUGAUGUUGUUAUCUUCUCUUCCUGAUGAAUUUGAACAUUUGGAGACUACGCUUCUUCACGGGAUAAGAUGAAAACCAAAUCAACAACAUCAGAAUAAGCAUUGGUGGCAAGAGGUCGUCAGCAAAGCCAAACAAAGGGCAGAAAAGGGAGGUCUAAGUCUAAAGGUCGAGCCGUUGCCAAAGAUGAGUGUGCUUUCUGUCAUGAGAAAGGACACUGGAAGAAAGACUGUCCAAAACUGCAGAAGAAAGGGAAGGCCCCGCAAGAUGCAAAUGUUGCAGAAUGCAAAAAUGAUGUGGAAUCAGAUAUCUCUUUAAUUGUCUCGCUUUCAGCAUCAUCGUAUCCAGAUGAGUGGAUAUUGGAUUCAGGUUGUACCUAUCAUAUGUGUCCCAUUCGGGAAUGGUUCUUUGAAUUUCAAGAACUCGAUGGUGGGGUUGUUUACAUGGGUAAUGAUAAUCCAUGUAAGACAGCUGUGAUAAGUUCAAUCAAGCUGCGGAAUCAUGAUGGAUCCACCAGAAUUUUGCGGGAUGUACGGUACGUGCCAAAGUUGAAGAAGAAUCUCAUCUCAUUGGGGGCUUUAGAAUCUAAAGGCCCAGUUGUGACAAUGCGAGAUGGAAUUCUUAAAGCAACUUCAGGAGCACCGGUGAUGUUGAAAGGCGUGAGGAAGAACAAUUUGUAUUACUAUCAAGGUAGUACAGUGGUGGGGACAGUAGCGACAACAACUUCUAGCACUAAGAAGGAUGCCGAGGCAACGAAGUUGUGGCAUAUGAGGUUGGGACAUGCUGGAGAGAUGUUACCUUUGAUGAAUUUGCCAUGUUAAAGAAGGUAAAUCCAGAAGGAGCUG
RNAcentral lists this long non-coding RNA (19251 nucleotides) under Phaseolus vulgaris (common bean). RNAcentral's name for it is "long non-coding RNA (PVUL_LNC002304)". Lineage: Eukaryota; Viridiplantae; Streptophyta; Magnoliopsida; Fabales; Fabaceae. The record is from RNAcentral.